RNAcentral lists this ribosomal RNA (444 nucleotides) under uncultured bacterium. RNAcentral's name for it is "bacterial SSU rRNA". It matches the Rfam family "Bacterial small subunit ribosomal RNA", at positions 28 to 507 of the family's 1533-position model. The record is from RNAcentral.
GAUGAACGCUGGCGGUAUGCCUAACACAUGCAAGUCGUACGAGAGUUUUUAACUCUAGUGGCGGACGGGUGAGUAACACGUGAGAAUUUGCCUUUAGGAGGGGGACAACAAUUGGAAACGAAUGCUAAUACCCCAUAUGCUUUCGAGUGAAAUGGAUUUUAUCCGCCUAGAGAGAAGCUCGCGGCUGAUUAGCUUGUUGGUAAGGUAAGAGCUUACCAAGGCGACGAUCAGUAUCUGGUUUGAGAGGACGAUCAGACACACUGGAACUGAGACACGGUCCAGACUCCUACGGGAGGCAGCAGUGGGGAAUUUUCCGCAAUGGGCGAAAGCCUGACGGAGCAAUACCGCGUGAGGGAAGAAUGCCUAUGGGUUGUAAACCUCUUUUUUCUAGGGUAGGAAUAAAAUAGACGUGUACCUGAAGAAUAAGCAUCGGCUAACUCCGUG